AGGAUUAUAGUUAAUCAUAACACCUGGGUUGCAUUCAGGGAGUGCUUCUUCGUUGAGAAGCUUUUCUUA
RNAcentral lists this transfer RNA (69 nucleotides) under Pseudachorutes palmiensis. Its description in RNAcentral is "tRNA-Ala". The record is from RNAcentral. Lineage: Eukaryota; Metazoa; Arthropoda; Collembola; Poduromorpha; Neanuridae.